Molecule: non-coding RNA, 114 nt
Organism: Acanthosepion pharaonis
Lineage: Eukaryota; Metazoa; Mollusca; Cephalopoda; Sepiida; Sepiidae
Source: the annotation of a GenBank genome assembly
UUACGGUCAUAUUACGAGGAAACACCGAUACUUGUACGACCACUGAAGUUAAGUAACAUAGGACCUGGUCAGUACUUGCAUGGGUGACUGCUUGGGAAUACCAGGUGGUGUAAG